CCUACGGGCUGCAGCAGUGAGGAAUAUUGGUCAAUGGACGAGAGUCUGAACCAGCCAAGUAGCGUGAAGGAUGACUGCCCUAUGGGUUGUAAACUUCUUUUAUAUGGGAAUAAAAUGUUCCACGUGUGGGAUUUUGUAUGUACCAUAUGAAUAAGGAUCGGCUAACUCCGUGCCAGCAGCCGCGGUAAUACGGAGGAUCCGAGAGUUAUCCGGAUUUAUUGGGUUUAAAGGGAGCGUAGGUGGAUUGUUAAGUCAGUUGUGAAAGUUUGCGGCUCAACCGUAAAAUUGCAGUUGAAACUGGCAGUCUGGAGUACAGUAGAGGUGGGCGGAAUUCGUGGUGUAGCGGUGAAAUGCUUAGAUAUCACGAAGAACUCCGAUUGCGAAGGCAGCUCACUGGACUGCAACUGACACUGAGGCUCGAAAGUGUGGGUAUCAAACAGGAUUAGAGACCCGGGUAGUC
Molecule: ribosomal RNA, 460 nt
Filed under: uncultured bacterium
Lineage: Bacteria
Description: partial 16S ribosomal RNA
Rfam family: Bacterial small subunit ribosomal RNA
Source: RNAcentral